RNAcentral lists this ribosomal RNA (468 nucleotides) under uncultured bacterium. RNAcentral describes it as "partial 16S ribosomal RNA". It matches the Rfam family "Bacterial small subunit ribosomal RNA", at positions 28 to 507 of the family's 1533-position model. The record is from RNAcentral.
GACGAACGCUGGCGGCGUGCUUAACACAUGCAAGUCGAACGGAAAGGCCCUGCUUUUGUGGGGUGCUCGAGUGGCGAACGGGUGAGUAACACGUGAGUAACCUGCCCUUGACUUUGGGAUAACUUCAGGAAACUGGGGCUAAUAUCGGAUAGGAGCUCCUGCUGCAUGGUGGGGGUUGGAAAGUUUCGGCGGUUGGGGAUGGACUCGCGGCUUAUCAGCUUGUUGGUGGGGUAGUGGCUUACCAAGGCUUUGACGGGUAGCCGGCCUGAGAGGGUGACCGGCCACAAUGCGACUGAGGUACGGCCCAGACUCCUACGGGAGGCAGCAGUGGGGAAUAUUGCACAGUGGGCGGAAGCCUGAUGCGGCAACGCCGCGUGCGGAAUGACGGCCUUCGGGUUGUAAACCGCUUUCGCCUGUGACGAAGCGUGAGUGACGGUAAUGGGUAAAGAAGCACCGGCUAACUACGUG